Molecule: ribosomal RNA, 484 nt
Filed under: uncultured bacterium
Lineage: Bacteria
Description: partial 16S ribosomal RNA
Rfam family: Bacterial small subunit ribosomal RNA
Source: RNAcentral
AUUGAACGCUGGCGGCAGGCCUAACACAUGCAAGUCGAGCGGAUGAAGGGAGCUUGCUCCUGGAUUCAGCGGCGGACGGGUGAGUAAUGCCUAGGAAUCUGCCUGGUAGUGGGGGAUAACGUCCGGAAACGGGCGCUAAUACCGCAUACGUCCUGAGGGAGAAAGUGGGGGAUCUUCGGACCUCACGCUAUCAGAUGAGCCUAGGUCGGAUUAGCUAGUUGGUGGGGUAAAGGCCUACCAAGGCGACGAUCCGUAACUGGUCUGAGAGGAUGAUCAGUCACACUGGAACUGAGACACGGUCCAGACUCCUACGGGAGGCAGCAGUGGGGAAUAUUGGACAAUGGGCGAAAGCCUGACCCAGCCAUGCCGCGUGUGUGAAGGAGGUCUUCGGAUUGUAAAGCACUUUAAGUUGGGAGGAAGGGCAGUAAGUUAAUACCUUGCUGUUUUGACGUUACCAACAGAAUAAGCACCGGCUAACUUCGUG